Molecule: long non-coding RNA, 2256 nt
Filed under: Mytilus galloprovincialis (Mediterranean mussel)
Lineage: Eukaryota; Metazoa; Mollusca; Bivalvia; Mytilida; Mytilidae
Source: RNAcentral
GUACAGCGUUUAUUUAUAAUUUUUUGGGUUUGUCCAAAUGAAUCACAACAUAGCAUUUUAUAAGAUCAAAUGUGGAUUCCGUACUGUUUAAAGGAAAUAUCAUGUUACUACAAUGCCGAAUAUGUGAUGAUAUUGCACUAUGGAAAUUAUAUACUUUAAAGUCUUAUAAUGGAAAACAUUAAACAUUUAGGUCAUCAUCUUUGUCUUAUUUGACUUUAAAUCGAGUAGUUUCAGGUAAGCAUAUUCAGUUGAAUAAACAUGGGAAUUCCACGUUGUGUAUAUUUUAAAAACAUUAUUUUAAUAUCGUUUGAAAGUAACUACAAACAAAAGACAAUUUUACAACAUAUGAACUAAACUUGCUAAAAUGAUCUAUGAUUUAAUUCAUAUUUGUGACGUAAUAUUUCAGUCGUUCUUUCUCAUAACUCUGUUGGAUCAGUGUUUAAAUAUAAUUCGGUAGGUCUCUAUUAAAUACAUGUUUACAUGUUUAUUGAGUAAUUUACAGUAUUGAUUUACACAAUUGAUUAUUUAUUAACAAUUAAACACAAGGUAGAUGAAAUUCUGCAUUUGUGAAUAUGCUUCCACAAUACAUAUCUAUAUUUGUAAUACAAGUUUUAACCGUUGAAAAUAAUUAUUGGUUAUAUAUGAGAAUCGAUUAUAGCAACGAUCUUUGCCAUUCAUAUAUCCAUAAAUGUUUUUAUAGGAUCACAUUAUCAUGUGUGCACAGUUCUUAUACAUCAUCAUAAACCAAAAUUUAAAAUCGUUUUUCUUUUAAGAAUGAUAAAGACAGAACAAAAUAUGUUUUUAGUGCAUUUAAAAAUAGAAGACUUAUACAAUAAAGAUCAAUACAAUUCUUCAAAUCGACUCAAUGAAAAGAUCACAGUUCAACUCUUCUUUUGUUAAUAAGAUAAGAGUGUAUUAAUACCAGAUAAGAUAAAUGUGUAUAGGAUAUGAGUUAAUAAUACUAUCAUGGUAAAUAGUUUUAACUGUGUAUUAUUAAACCGGUAAUGUUCGUCAUACUUCGUAAACAUUUGAAAUGUAUAUAGCGUCUAUUGUCAAUCCGUCUUUGUCAUGUUUUCAAAUACACCAAAUAUAUAGAUUGUUGGAAAUGAGUCCACGUUAACAGUUUGAAGGGUAAGCAACUUACUGAAAAAUAAACAAUAAGUAUCAUGAUUUUCAUAAUCAUAAUCUUUGAGGUUGGCAUUAUAGGUCAAAUAUAUUAUUUGAAAGAAACACAUACAAGUCAGAAAACUUAAAUACCAAACAAGAUUUAUUGGGAAAAUUAUCAAAAUAUACAAAAUGUACUAUUUAACAAAAUGUACAAUAAGAGGAACUAUUAUAUAACUCUCCAGACAGGUUAGUGUUAAACGAAUGGUAGAACACGUAUUGUGAAGGAAAACCUAUAUGAUCCGGUUAUGUUUUAGUACGAAGAAACAAGAUUAUCAUCUUACUUUUUAUACAAAAUCGAAAAAACAAGAAAGGGGAAAAUAACAUGUUUAGUAAUGAUGAUAACAUCAUUUAGUGAAUUUCAGGAUCAUCAUUUAUGUUUAUUUUUGUUUUAUGUAUAAUUAAGAUCAGUGAGCACUAGAAACGUUAUAUAUACAAGUUAUUGUACAUCGGAAUCAUCGUUUUAAAAUGUUAUUUGAUGUUUCCUAGCCUUAAUCUACAAGUUAUUGUUCCUAUUCAAUCCGGUGAAUGCCUUUGUCACCGUGUAUGUAUUGACACAAAUGUGAACGUGUUUUACUGUUUCCAUUGGUCACUCAAAAUCAAGGUUUGGAAUAUUGAAAUUUCAAACAUAAGUCAGAAGCUUUAUUAUUUGUGUGUCCUCUGUAUGUAAUGCCGAAUCAAACUAAAACUAUUUUACAGAAUAGUGUUAUCGAUGUCUCCCUAUGUAUCUAUGAUUGUUCAAUUUUUAUCACUCGGUAGUUUUACAAAAUACUUUCUAAUCAUCUCAUCGUUAACUCAUGGACAUGCAUGUAUAAGAAUUUAGGAUAUCUGUCUUUUUAAAUUAUUAACUUGAAGAUAUGUUUACUAGAAAAUAGAAUAUAAAUUAUAACAAACAACCUGACAUUGACCAACGAUGCAUCAAAAAUAUACAAUAUUAUAAAACCAAAGGUUGAACUCAUUAAGUAUUGUAAUGCACAGUUUAUGGUCAAUUAGUUAACUUAGAUGUGUUUAUUGUUUUUCUUUUUAGAUGGCAUAUAUUAUAAAUGAAGAACAAACAUCAUGAACAUGUUGAUCCUACUGACUCUCCUUCAG